RNAcentral lists this ribosomal RNA (374 nucleotides) under uncultured eukaryote. RNAcentral describes it as "partial 18S ribosomal RNA". It matches the Rfam family "Eukaryotic small subunit ribosomal RNA", at positions 592 to 976 of the family's 1831-position model. The record is from RNAcentral.
UAAUAGCGUAUACUUAAGUUGUUGCAGUUAAAAAGCUCGUAGUCGGAUGUCGGGCUUGGGCAGGCUGUCGGCUUUUGUCGGACGGCAGGCUCGGGCCUUUCUGCCUGGGGACCGCGUCACACUUCACUGUGGGGCGUCGGGACGCAGGCCGUUUACUUUGAAAAAAUUAGAGUGUUCAAAGCAGGCCUACGCUUGAAUACAUUAGCAUGGAAUAAUGGAAUAGGACUUUGGUGCCAUUCUGUUGGUUUAUGGAACCGAAGUAAUGAUUAAUAGGGACAGUUGGGGCCGUUUAUAUUUCGUUGUCAGAGGUGAAAUUCUUGGAUUUACGAAAGACAAACUGCUGCGAAAGCGUCUGCCAAGGAUGUUUUCAUUGA